Molecule: long non-coding RNA, 1859 nt
Filed under: Triticum aestivum (bread wheat)
Lineage: Eukaryota; Viridiplantae; Streptophyta; Magnoliopsida; Poales; Poaceae
Description: long non-coding RNA (TAES_LNC009005)
Source: RNAcentral
GCAGAUAUUGCUCAAUUUAGUAGGAAGUCGGGUUUAGCGACGUAUUCAAACAUGAUACAACAAACUAAAAGGAAGAGGAAACAUUCACAUGUAAUAGGAGGAAAACAUCAUCGAGAUUGACACCGGCAUGAGAAAUAAGGCAGCAUUCAAUUUGGUGCGUUCAUGAGACCACAAAAGGUAACCACUUGAUAUUAAGCUCGGUACUAAGAGCGCGAAUAUGAGAGAGGAAGUACCAAGAGCAGGAACACAAUAUAAAUAAAUAAAAACUACGUAGCCAUAGCUUCUUAGGCAUACUACUUAGUUGCUUCAUUUGGCUGCCUUCUCGAUCAACUUCAUAGAUGGCACGUCACUUAACCUGAUGCAGGCAAUGUGUUAGAUAUAUUGCAUAGACCAAUUUAUGUGUAGACAAAAAAUGCACUUGCAUUUUUGUACCUUAGCCUUUUAAAGCUUAUAACCAGGGAGUGAUGGUUCCCCUUUUCAAUUUUGAAAGAAAAGACAUAUAUGAUACUCUCUGAUCCCUGCCGCUUUGACAGAUCUUGACCAAUUGUUUGUUAUUGUUGGUCUCUUGUCCGUAUCCAGGUGCACUCAUCCAACCCGGUAAUACAACCAUUGAAGCAUUGCAUAUAAAACAUGGCAUUAUCUAUGAACUGACCCACUACUACAAUGCCUCUCAAUUAUGAUGUGGACUUAAUCAAAGUGGUGCUACUUGCCCAACCCCAACUCCCACAGAAUCCCGUUUUUCCUAACCCGGUAAUAGAAAAAAAUAGGUAUCUUAGGAUGGAAAUGUAGGGACUAUCUUAGGAUAGAAAUGUAUCAAGGUAUUAAUCAACUAAGUUCAAUGAUCAAACCUCUGAUAUAAAUAUUUCAAUUAACAUCUGAUAUUACUCAAUAUAUCUCAGGAUGGAAAUAUAUCUGAGUAGGUGAUGGUAGAUACUCACAGUAGUAAUCACCCCGUAAAAUAUAUCUAAAAAGAUGACCCUAUAUAUGCAUGCCAUCGACGCAUUUGUUAUAAAAUAUGACGUGAAAUACCUUGCUUUGGUAUGGUAGAAACCAAAAGAUAAAUAUCAUGCAUUUAUUUGUUUGGCCAGACCUUUUGCCCAAAGAAACUGAAUCUCUCAUCACAACAAAGUUCAAGUAAAGUGCAAAUUUGCACUACGAUGGGCGAGUGGAUAAGAGACAGAGAACUAUAGCAGCACAAUAAGCCUCUGAAGAAAAGAAGGAGGCUCAGUGAUGACAUCGACAGCCUUGUCAUACAACGACAAAAAUGGCUUGAGCUGUUCAAAAAAAUGAUGAAAUCAAAAUGGGGGAGUAAUUUCUUUAGGCAAACACUGAAUCAAAAUCUUAGUGGUUGGUUUACCGACAACUAGUAUAUGAGGUAUGUUUAUUAUUUAUGGGACUUGUCCAUUUAAGCCUUAAUAUCCCAAUUACGGAUAUUUUGGUAAUUUAUAUGACGCACUGUAAAAAUAUUAAGCACUCACAAUUGAUUAUUUCCGUGACAAGUAAUGUUAUAAGUCAUCAAGCUCUUUAUGAUAUUUUCUACUUCAGAUUCCAAGUCGCAUUAAAUGAGUGCACAAAAGAGAAUAUAAAAAUAAAAAGGCUCAAGGUACUUCUGACAGAACUCAUCUCAGUGUUAUUUUGGUAUAUAGCUUAAGCCCUGGAUCAACUAAGCUAGCAUGGUAGAUUUUUCUUCUUAAUGAAAGCACAUAUAUGUAAGAGCAUGCAGAAAGGGUCAAAGAGCUAGAAUCCUAUAAAAUACAGAAUCCAUCUUUCGACACAGGGAACAAUUAUAUUUAUAUUUGAUACAGAACAUGCACUUGUGAAUUGGCAGGUAAUAUGAAGGUCAUGUAUUGGAAUUUUAC